AAGGUGCGGGCGUGCUAUACUGCAAGUCGAACGCACAGCGAAAGGUGCUUGCACCUUUCAAGUGAGUGGCGAACGGGUGAGUAACACGUGGACAACCUGCCUCAAGGCUGGGGAUAACAUUUGGAAACAGAUGCUAAUACCGAAUAAAACUUAGUGUCGCAUGACAAAAAGUUAAAAGGCGCUUCGGCGUCACCUAGAGAUGGAUCCGCGGUGCAUUAGUUAGUUGGUGGGGUAAAGGCCUACCAAGACAAUGAUGCAUAGCCGAGUUGAGAGACUGAUCGGCCACAUUGGGACUGAGACACGGCCCAAACUCCUACGGGAGGCUGCAGUAGGGAAUCUUCCACAAUGGGCGAAAGCCUGAUGGAGCAACGCCGCGUGUGUGAUGAAGGCUUUCGGGUCGUAAAGCACUGUUGUAUGGGAAGAACAGCUAGAAUAGGAAAUGAUUUUAGUUUGACGGUACCAUACCAGAAAGGGACGGCUAAAUACGUGCCAGCAGCCGCGGUAAUACGUAUGUCCCGAGCGUUAUCCGGAUUUAUUGGGCGUAAAGCGAGCGCAGACGGUUUAUUAAGUCUGAUGUGAAAGCCCGGAGCUCAACUCCGGAAUGGCAUUGGAAACUGGUUAACUUGAGUGCAGUAGAGGUAAGUGGAACUCCAUGUGUAGCGGUGGAAUGCGUAGAUAUAUGGAAGAACACCAGUGGCGAAGGCGGCUUACUGGACUGCAACUGACGUUGAGGCUCGAAAGUGUGGGUAGCAAACAGGAUUAGAUACCCUGGUAGUCCACACCGUAAACGAUGAACACUAGGUGUUUAGGAGGUUUCCGCCUCUUAGUGCCGAAGCUAACGCAUUAAGUGUUCCGCCUGGGGGAGUACGACCGCAAGGUUGAAACUCAAAGGAAUUGACGGGGACCCGCACAAGCGGUGGAGCCAGGUGGUUUAAUUCGAAGCAACGCGAAGAACCUUACCAGGUCUUGACAUCCUUUGAAGCUUUAAGAAGAUAGAAGUGUUCUCUUCGGAGACAAAGUGACAGGUGGGUGCAUGGUCGUCGUCAGCUCGUGUCGUGAGAAAGUUUGGGGUUAAGUCCCGGCAACGAGCGCAACCCUUU
Molecule: ribosomal RNA, 1100 nt
Filed under: Leuconostoc mesenteroides
Lineage: Bacteria; Bacillati; Bacillota; Bacilli; Lactobacillales; Lactobacillaceae
Description: bacterial SSU rRNA
Rfam family: Bacterial small subunit ribosomal RNA
Source: RNAcentral